Molecule: transfer RNA, 55 nt
Filed under: Thalassiosira minuscula
Lineage: Eukaryota; Bacillariophyta; Thalassiosirophyceae; Thalassiosirales; Thalassiosiraceae
Rfam family: tRNA
About the family: Transfer RNA (tRNA) molecules are approximately 80 nucleotides in length. Their secondary structure includes four short double-helical elements and three loops (D, anti-codon, and T loops). Further hydrogen bonds mediate the characteristic L-shaped molecular structure. tRNAs have two regions of fundamental functional importance: the anti-codon, which is responsible for specific mRNA codon recognition, and the 3' end, to which the tRNAs corresponding amino acid is attached (by aminoacyl-tRNA synthetases). tRNAs cope with the degeneracy of the genetic code in two manners: having more than one tRNA (with a specific anti-codon) for a particular amino acid; and 'wobble' base-pairing, i.e. permitting non-standard base-pairing at the 3rd anti-codon position.
Source: RNAcentral
GUCUAUCGGUUAGGACGCCAGGUUUUCAACCUGGAAAGAGGGGUUCGAUUCCCCU